AAGCUUUAUGGUUACUUCUUAUAUAUUACUUUGACUUCUCGGCAAAUGACAUCCUUGAAGAUUAGAUGAAUGAAGUAUCCAGACCAAAGUAAUACACUUUUCAAUGGCUAGAGCCAUGAUUUGAACUUAAGGGAUGGUGAAUUCCAGUAUUAUAAGCUUUCUAGUAUAACAUCUUGUCUUUUACUUAAAUUUCAAUAUAAAAUUAAUCUUCCUUUUUAUAUUGCUCUAGGUGCAAUAUAGGUGGUGAUAACUGUGGUGGUGAUAACUGUGAAGGUAGAGAGCAUUCCUAUCUCUUCCUGAGACUCCAAAAAGAUGCUAGAGAGUGAUUCCAGCUUGCAAGGUGACUGUGGAACAGCUCUGAUGCAGCCUCAGGAAAUUACCCUUCUUGUGGGCUGCAACUACAUCCCCAACAAGAUCUGGCCCCGAUCCUGGUGAAGGUCUACUUUUCUCUGUUUGUCCUUCUAUGGGUGCUCUCCAUUACCCCAGGGAAAACCAAUCAUUAACAGCUUUCAUUUCAGAAAGCCAAGCAAUUUAUAUGGACUCACUCCCAUAAACACAAUUCUGAGUGUCAACCAAUUGAGAACAAUUUUGUUGGAGUAAUCACAUUUUGGCAGCGAAUGUCAACCUACUUAAACUUCUGAAAGGUCACCAAUCCCUGACUUUUAAGCUUCCAAAAAUUCUGGUAUAAAUCCAGCAGCUUGCUCUUUUUAGAGAGGCUAUACCUGACCAGCAUAUCUCUAUUCACUAUAGUAAGCAAUAAGCACAACAUGUUUUUUCUUUCAAAUAUUGAGUGGUGAUUUCUUCAUAAUUUGACAGUAUCAUUUAUCCCAUGGAAGAACAAGUAGUUAUAUAUCUUAUUCUGGAAUUCCUUUUGAGCAUUAGAGCAAUCUUCCCCAAAAACUGCGAACUUAAAAAAAAUAAUAAUAUUCUCUAUUCAACAGUAGGUGGAAAAUCAAACUCAGAAACAUUUUAGCAGAAUUUAUUUUGCUGGGUUUUUUUCCUCCUAAACUUAGCAUUGUUAUCUGGAUACAAUCAAGAUACUUUAUUUCACAGCCAACGUCAUGUAACAACUUUUUGUAACAUUACUCAGCUCGUAGCUUUUCUCUUUCGGAAAAAGUGUUUGGAAAGCAGAAUUAAAAACGAACUUGAGGGCCAGGCGCAGUGGCUCACGCCUGUAAUCCCAACAUUUUGGGAGUCUGAGGCGGGUGGAUCACGAGGUCAGGAGACCGAGACCAUCCUGGCUAAUACAGUGAGACCCCGUCUCUACUAAAAAUACAAAAAAUUAGCCAUGCAUGGUGGCACGUGCCAAGUCCCAGCUACCGGGGAGGCUGAGGCAGGAGAAUCGCUUGAACCUGGGAGGCAGAGGUUGCAGUGAGCCGAGAUUGUGCCACUGCACUCCAGCCUGAGCAACAGAGUGAGACUCCAUCUCAAAAAAUAAAAAAAUAAAAUAAAAAUUAAAAGUCAACAUUUAAAAGACUUGGAUUUUUCUUAGUUUUUUUUUUUUUUUUUUUUUUUUUGGCUUAAUAUAAGUCUUCCUCUCUCUCUCUCUUUUUCUUUCUUUUUUUUUGAGAGGCAGCCUUGGUCUGUCGCCCAGGCUGGAGUGCAGUGGCACCAUCUCGGCUCACUGCAACCUCUGCCUUCUGGGUUUCAGAGAUUCUAGGGCCUCAACCUCCCAAGUAGCUGGGAUUACAAGUGUGCGCCACCAUGCCCAACUAAUUUUUGUAUUUUUAGUAGAGAUGGGUUUCACCAUGUUGGCCAGCCUGGUCUCAAACUCCCAACUUCAAGAGAUCUGCCGGCCUUGGCCUCCGAAAGUGCUAGGAUUACAAGCGUAAGCCACCAGGCCCAGCCUACAUUUUCUUUUAUCUGUGUGUAAAUAUGUUGAUGGUAUAGUGUGCAUAAGGGAAAAUAAGCUUAUUAAAAACUCAAGCUUCAGGGAUAACUGGCUAGGCCUUACUUUUAAAGAAAUAGUUGCACCUUUAACAUUUUCUGCUAUGAUAGAAAAAUAUUAUCCAAUUAAAAUGUAAGCAACCUAAACAUCAUUGAUUACUCUAAAAGAAUUAUAGAAUAGUAAUAUCUUGCCAAUAUCGAUAUUUGUGGUGCUACUCUGUUCUCAUUGCAUUAGCUAUUAGACAAUGUCUUAUAGAGUUCAUGGCCAUUUUCUGCUUAUGAAUGAGAAUAAAUACUUGUGAAAACAUAACGUGUAAGACAUCAGGUAUACAUAUAUUAAAAUAUGUCAGUUGGCGAAAAGUAAUAAUUGUCUUACCAAGGAAAAUUGCCUUUAGAUUUGACUGUGUUCAGCUCUGGUACAAAACAUAACAAACAUUAUGUUUCUACCUUAAUUAAAAAGUAAAUGUGGUUAUUUUAAAAACUGUUUAAAAUUAAAGCCUAUUUUAUAAGAUGUUAUAUGAGACACUGCAUUAUUCCUUAUCAAAUUUAUAAGGCUGUAU
Molecule: long non-coding RNA, 2447 nt
Filed under: Homo sapiens (human)
Lineage: Eukaryota; Metazoa; Chordata; Mammalia; Primates; Hominidae
Description: HSALNT0080247
Source: RNAcentral